AGAGGGGGCGAGCGUUAUUCGGAAUUAUUGGGCGUAAAGGGCGCGUAGGCGGCCUUUCAAGUGACGGGUGAAAUCCCUCGGCUUAACCGAGGAACUGCCUGUCAGACUGGAAGGCUUGAGACCGGGAGAGGUGAGUGGAAUUCCCAGUGUAGCGGUGAAAUGCGUAGAUAUUGGGAGGAACACCAGUGGCGAAGGCGGCUCACUGGACCGGUACUGACGCUGAGGCGCGAAAGCGUGGGGAGCAAACAGGAUUAGAUACCCUGGUAGUCCACGCCGUAAACGAUGAGUGCUUGGUGUAGCGGGUAUCGACCCCUGCUGUGCCGAAGUCAACACAUUAAGCACUCCGCCUGGGGAGUACGGUCGCAAGACUG
RNAcentral lists this ribosomal RNA (371 nucleotides) under uncultured bacterium. Its description in RNAcentral is "bacterial SSU rRNA". It matches the Rfam family "Bacterial small subunit ribosomal RNA", at positions 527 to 896 of the family's 1533-position model. The record is from RNAcentral.